RNAcentral lists this ribosomal RNA (1201 nucleotides) under uncultured bacterium. Its description in RNAcentral is "bacterial SSU rRNA". It matches the Rfam family "Bacterial small subunit ribosomal RNA", at positions 49 to 1269 of the family's 1533-position model. The record is from RNAcentral.
UAAGACAUGCAAGUCGAACGGUUAAAGCCCCUUCGGGGGUGUAUAAAGUGGCGGACGGGCGAGGAAUACGUUCCUACGUACCCCGAGGUCGGGGAUAGCCCGGGGAAACCCGGAGUAAGACCCGAUGUGGUCCGCCGCAAGGCGGAUCAAAGGCUUGCCGCCUUGGGAGCGGGGAACGUCCUAUCAGGUUGUUGGUGAGGUAACGGCUCACCAAGCCAGAGACGGGUAGCGGGUGUGAGAGCAUGACCCGCCGCAUCGGGACUGAGACACUGCCCGGACUCCUACGGGAGGCUGCAGUAACGAAUCUUCCGCAAUGCGCGAAAGCGUGACGGAGCAAUGCCGCGUGCAGGAUGAAGCCUUUCGGGGUGUAAACUGCUGUCAGGGUUUAGCAACUCAAUGAGCAGACCCAAAGGAAGGGCCGGCUAACUUCGUGCCAGCAGCCGCGGUAAUACGAAGGGCUCGAGCGUUAAUCGGAAUCACUGGGCUUAAAGCGUACGUAGGCGGGCGCGCAGGCAUCUUGUGAAAGCCCUCGGCUCAACCGAGGAAAUGCUUGGUGAACCGCGCGUCUUGAGGCAAGUAGGGGCUGUCGGAACGCUAGGUGGAGUGGUGAAAUGCGUUGAUAUCUAGCGGAACGCCGAAGGAGAAAUCAGGCAGCUGGGCUUGUUCUGACGCUGAGGUACGAAAGCGUGGGGAGCGAACGGGAUUAGAUACCCCGGUAGUCCACGCUGUAAACGAUGUGCACUAGAUUGAGGGGGUUCUGACACCGCUCUCGGUCGAAGCAAAAGUGUUAAGUGCACCGCCUGGGGAGUACGGUCGCAAGGCUAAAACUCAAAGGAAUUGACGGGGGCUCACACAAGCGGUGGAGCAUGUGGCUUAAUUCGAGGCAACGCGAAGAACCUUAUCCUGGGUUUGACAUGCACGGAUCAACCCGCCGAAAAGCGGGCCACGCCUUCGGGUGGAACGUGCUCAGGUGUUGCAUGGCUGUCGUCAGCUCGUGCUGUGAAGUGUCGGGUUAAGUCCCUUAACGAGCGAAACCCCUGUCGCUAGUUGCCAUCAGGUAAUGCUGGGGACUCUAGCGAGACCGCCGGGUCAAGUCGGAGGAAGGUGGGGAUGACGUCAAGUCCGCAUGACCUUUAUGCCCAGGGCUGCACACGUGCUACAAUGGCGGGUACAGAACGAGGCAAUGCCGCGAGGUGGAGCA